RNAcentral lists this ribosomal RNA (255 nucleotides) under Hepatozoon sp. RNAcentral's name for it is "partial 18S ribosomal RNA". It matches the Rfam family "Eukaryotic small subunit ribosomal RNA", at positions 443 to 692 of the family's 1831-position model. The record is from RNAcentral. Lineage: Eukaryota; Apicomplexa; Hepatozoidae.
ACCCAAUUCUAACAGCAUAAGAGAGGUAGUGACAAGAAAUAACAAUACAAGGUAAUUAAAUUGCUUUGUAAUUGGAAUGAUAGAAAUUUAAACACUUUUUAAAGUAUCAAUUGGAGGGCAAGUCUGGUGCCAGCAGCCGCGGUAAUUCCAGCUCCAAUAGCGUAUAUUAAAAUUGUUGCAGUUAAAAAGCUCGUAGUUGAAUUUCUGUUAAAAAUAACCGGUCUGCUUUUAUUAAAAGUGGUAUCUUGGUGUGUU